GAUGAACGCUGGCGGCGUGCCUAAUACAUGCGAGUCGAACGCUGAAGGAAGGAGCUUGCUCUUUCCGGAUGAGUUGCGAACGGGUGAGUAACGCGUAGGUAACCUGCCUGGUAGCGGGGGAUAACUAUUGGAAACGAUAGCUAAUACCGCAUAACAGUAGAUGUUGCAUGAUAUCUACUUAAAAGGUGCAAUUGCACCACUACCAGAUGGACCUGCGUUGUAUUAGCUAGUUGGUGAGGUAACGGCUCACCAAGGCGACGAUACAUAGCCGACCUGAGAGGGUGAUCGGCCACACUGGGACUGAGACACGGCCCAGACUCCUACGGGAGGCAGCAGCAGGGAAUCUUCGGCAAGGGACGGAAGUCUGACCGAGCAACGCCGCGUGAGUGAAGAAGGGUUUCGGAUCGUAAAGCUCUGUUGUAAGAGAAGAACGAGUGUGAGAGUGGAAAGUUCACACUGUGACGGUAUCUUACCAGAAAGGGACGGCUAACUACGUG
Molecule: ribosomal RNA, 497 nt
Filed under: uncultured bacterium
Lineage: Bacteria
Description: partial 16S ribosomal RNA
Rfam family: Bacterial small subunit ribosomal RNA
Source: RNAcentral